Molecule: transfer RNA, 77 nt
Filed under: Candidatus Saccharibacteria bacterium 32-50-13
Lineage: Bacteria; Candidatus Saccharimonadota
Description: tRNA-Arg
Rfam family: tRNA
About the family: Transfer RNA (tRNA) molecules are approximately 80 nucleotides in length. Their secondary structure includes four short double-helical elements and three loops (D, anti-codon, and T loops). Further hydrogen bonds mediate the characteristic L-shaped molecular structure. tRNAs have two regions of fundamental functional importance: the anti-codon, which is responsible for specific mRNA codon recognition, and the 3' end, to which the tRNAs corresponding amino acid is attached (by aminoacyl-tRNA synthetases). tRNAs cope with the degeneracy of the genetic code in two manners: having more than one tRNA (with a specific anti-codon) for a particular amino acid; and 'wobble' base-pairing, i.e. permitting non-standard base-pairing at the 3rd anti-codon position.
Source: RNAcentral
GCACCCGUAGCUCAGUGGAUUAGAGCAUUUGUCUUCGGAACAAAGGGUCGUACGUUCGAAUCGUACCGGGUGUACCA